Molecule: ribosomal RNA, 470 nt
Filed under: uncultured bacterium
Lineage: Bacteria
Description: bacterial SSU rRNA
Rfam family: Bacterial small subunit ribosomal RNA
Source: RNAcentral
CGGAGCUUGAGAGAGCUUGCUUUUUCAAGCUUAGUGGCGAACGGGUGAGUAACGCGUGAGGAACCUGCCUCAGAGUGGGGGACAACAGUUGGAAACGACUGCUAAUACCGCAUAAGCCCACGGGUCCGCAUGGAUCUGAGGGAAAAGGAGCAAUCCGCUUUGAGAUGGCCUCGCGUCCGAUUAGCUGGUUGGUGAGGUAACGGCCCACCAAGGCGACGAUCGGUAGCCGGACUGAGAGGUUGAACGGCCACAUUGGGACUGAGACACGGCCCAGACUCCUACGGGAGGCAGCAGUGGGGAAUAUUGCACAAUGGAGGAAACUCUGAUGCAGCGACGCCGCGUGGAGGAAGAAGGUUUUCGGAUUGUAAACUCCUGUUGUUGGGGAAAAUAAGGAUGGUACCCAACAAGGAAGUGACGGCUAACUACGUGCCAGCAGCCGCGGUAAAACGUAGGUCACAAGCGUUGUCCGG